This is a long non-coding RNA of Austrofundulus limnaeus, 1555 nucleotides long. RefSeq lists it as uncharacterized. The transcript has 2 exons. The record is from RefSeq and is a predicted model, not a curated record. Lineage: Eukaryota; Metazoa; Chordata; Actinopteri; Cyprinodontiformes; Rivulidae.
GCUUCGUCUCUCCUCCAAGAGACUUCUUCAGUCUGAGAGUUUCAGGCAAAGACCAGAACCUUCCUGCUCUGAAGGAGAGCAGAGUUGUUUAUUCUCCCUCCUUCUUGAUCUGAAGCUGAUCCUGGGAGCGGAGCUGCCUGACACUUUAUUGGCAGAUGAAGAGUGGUUUUGUGAACAGUUCAAUCCUCUCCUGCGCGCUGAAGCCUCUUGUCUUUGCAGCUCGAACUACUUCAUCCAGUUCUCUGGGCCCAUUUAGCGCCACAAUAAAAGCCUGGAUGAGGGCGGCUGCCCCGGGUUUUACAGGGGCUCAUGUGUGWGGCCUGAGGUGACGCGGGCCGUAAAGCUGAACUGAAGGAGGGUUUUUGCAGUCCUGACUCCAGAACCAGCUCGGCUCUGCUCCGGACCAGGACCACAGCGGGGCCAUCAGCAUCUUGAUUUCAGUUGAAAGGGGAGAAAGUCACAUCGUUUCUGAUGAACUAAAACUCAUCCGAGGACAGAGGGGGUGCUGUGACGUCACCACACACUGUUGUCCCUGCAUUAGACAACAUUGCUGUUCUGGUAUCAGACCAUCUCCUUCUGAAUGUCAGCCCCGAAGCUGCGGACAAGGUGGAAACUCUGGAUAGGUUUUUGGGCUUAGUAAAUGUUGUGUGCACUUGUUGAAUCCUGUUUUAGCUCAGCAUGAUGAUGAACUGAUGAAUUUACACCAUUCUGUUGAACUGAUGUUGAGUGUGAUGUCAGACAGAUAAGUCUAAAUACUUACUUAGUACACAUAGUCUUGUUUGUUAAAGUAGCAUUUUACUUAUUUUGCACAGAUUAUGUUCUGCUAAAGGUAAAAGAUGAUCAUUAACUUGAUCUUUAYGUAAAAUUUCAUGUUCYGUGUCUGUAAUGUCCUUUACCUGAGUAAUCAUGUUUGCUUGUCACCCACACCCUCACAUCUCCUCUGCUCUUGCCACGCCMUCUUGUUUUCCCUCUCAGCAAUCAAGCUCAUGUCUCUACCUGUUCUUAAGCGCCAUGCCUACAGUCACUAGUUGCCACAUCUUUGAAUAGUUCAUGCCAAGUAGAUGUCCAACAGUUUCUCGCGUAUCCCUGUUCUCCUGUUCAUGACCUCAAGCCUGCCUCUUGACUUUCCCUUUUUGACUGAUCCCUGCCUGGUACUGUUCAUGUUUCUGACCAUUGGAUCAUGACCUCAUUUCUGCCCCUUGGACCUUGCCUUUUGGAUUUUGUUUUGGAUUUGUUUUCACCUCUCUGACCACACAGUCCUGACUUCUGCCUGCAGACCAACGAACCAACCCUGCCCCUUUUCUCAGUCACAGUUUCUCACAGCCCAAGAGCCAUGGUCUCAUUACCUGGAUCUGUCAAGUUACUUUUUGUUCUGCUCCUCAAUGUGCUCCAGCCCAAGACCCCACCUUCCCACCAGCUUCCAGUUUUUCAAUAAAACUCUUAAACCUGCUCGGUGUUUGGCUGCUCCUAAACACAAACUAUGUUACUGCAAGAAUCAUUUAAUUUAUUUCCUGUGACUUUGGCUUAAAACGAACAAUAAAGGAGCAUAAUAGCA